Molecule: long non-coding RNA, 2215 nt
Organism: Bubalus bubalis (water buffalo)
Lineage: Eukaryota; Metazoa; Chordata; Mammalia; Artiodactyla; Bovidae
Exons: 4
Source: RefSeq, a predicted model, not a curated record
CAACUUUUAAAAACCCUUAAAGCAAAAGGCGUCUCUGUGUUUGCUUUGAGAGCAACAGUUAAUCGCGGGUGGAGCGGCCCAGGAGGCAGCCUGGAGGAGCAGGGCAGGCACCUGAAGAGGAAAUGGAAAUCAGAUGGGUUUACCCAAUUCUCACUCCCCAUGAGAAGACAACAGACAGUUGCUGAGAAAUAUAAAGAGUGUUUGCCACCCCAAUGUUUUAUCCAGUAUCUGGAAAUUUGCCUAUCUGAUAUGUGAAAAAAGAGUCAUGUAGGAUCUUGGUUUGGUAACCAGUGAUGGAACCCAUGCCUGCUGCAAUGGAAGCACAGAGUCCUAACCGCUGGACCACCAGGGAAGUCCCUGCUUAUUUUACAAAUAUAGUCAAAACAUUGACAUUACUCCACAUUCAAAAGGAACAUAAGGGUUUACAGUGAACAACUCCCCUUCACCUCUAAUACCUGUCUCUCUUCCUGAAGGCAAUUGCCCUUCCCUGUGUCUUAUAUAUUCUUCUGGAGACAUGGUGCGCUGAUGCUGAACCUAGUUCUUUUUCAUUUAAUUAGUUCUGAACCUAGUUCUUCUUCAUGUAAUGAUAUAUUCUGGAGAUAUUUCAUAUGAGUAUAUAGCAAACUUCUUUCUUAUGGUUUCAUAGUAUUUGAUUGUAUAAUGUAUUUGAAACAGUCUUACAGUGAUGCACUUUUUAGGUCGCUUUUGAUCUUUGCUACUUUUUCUUUUUAGCUGAGCCACAUGGCUUGGGGUAUCAUAGUUCCUUGAUCGGGAAUUGAACCUGGGCCACAGGUGAAAGCCCACAGUCCUAACCUCUAGGCCCCCAGAGAACUCCCUCCAUCUUUGUCUUUAAUGAGCAACCUUAUGCAUGUGUCAUGUACAUGUGUGCAAAUGUAUCUAUUGGAGAAUUUCUAUGUUGGAAUUGUUGGAUCAGAAAAUACAUAGACUUAAAAAUUUGAGAAGUAUUGUGACAUUUUCCUUCAUCAGAUUAGACAAAGAUUUUAGGUGACUUAGCCAAGACUGAAGAGCUAAUUUUUAAUGGAUUUGGAGUUAAAACAAAUGUUUCCUAACCAGAAAAUAGGAGCCAUGAAGAAUGGUACAUCUGGGGGGACACUAAGUUCUUGUCAAAUAUAAUCAAUUUGGGGCGUCUGCAAGAGAAGAGGAAGAAGAUUCACCUUUUGGGCCUACUCCAUCCUUUCUGCUGCCCUCUGGGAACUUGUUCUCUGAACUGGAGGGCCAAGUGAUGAACCGACCUCAGCAAGCCCAGAUGGGUUUACCUCCUGUCGUUCUGGGCCAGUCAGUCUCGUACACAACUGAGAUGUGGACUUGUACCAAAAAGUUGAAGAAAUUAAAGGGCUUUGCCUCAAAAAAUAGAAGGCUAGGAAGAAACAAGGAAUGAGUUUUAAAAGGCCUUCAAAGAUACUGCUCUUCUGCAAGAUGACCCCUCGUGAACAGGCUUUCUUUGUGAGUCACUGUCCGUGGUGCUGACAACAUCCCUGUGGGCUGAGGAGGGGUUGCUUUUCCUUUUCCUGGGGCACUAAAGUGUCUUAAACAAACCCUCCUGGGGAAUUCUGGGCAGGAGAGAAAGGCAAUCAAGGGAAACAAGAGAAGUAGAAAGGAUAAGAGCUAGUUAAGUUGACUGUGAGGUGGGCGGAGAAGGAAGAGGGAUUGGUAUAUGAUUGGAUAUUGUCUACAAAUCAUAGUGAUGGGGAGUGGGAGGAACAUUUGCACAUUGCCUUGGCAUUCCAUUAUUGUAUGCAUAUAUUUCCUGAGGACUUGAAGAAUCAAGUGAGGGUAUAGAAAAUACCUUAGAGAAAAUUAUCAUGUGGAAUUUCUUGAGUGGACAAUUUUAGAAAUAAGAUGGAUUACCAUCUGCCUGAACUGAUUUAACUAUAAUCCUGCCAAGAGAGGGAAUAGACUGAAUAACCUCCGGAGAACCUCACAAUAUUUGAAGUUACAACUUCAGUGAAAACAUUCAUCCUAUUCUUGCUCUUUAUCUCUGAGCUUCAGGGCAGCCUGGAUUUAACCUAAAGUAACAUCACAAGCUAUACUGAUUUUGUCUUAUCUAUAGUCAUUUGCCUUCAAGUGUUGUUUUAAUACUCACGAGAAGUUAAUAACUCUCUCAACCUGUCGGUUCUUUCCUCAGCAGCAUAAAAGUAUAACACAGAACAUGAAUUCAAUAAAUCCAACUCACUCCUUAUUGCUGCACUGAAAU